This 847-nucleotide ribosomal RNA is filed under the name Terribacillus saccharophilus. RNAcentral's name for it is "bacterial SSU rRNA". It matches the Rfam family "Bacterial small subunit ribosomal RNA", at positions 28 to 842 of the family's 1533-position model. Lineage: Bacteria; Bacillati; Bacillota; Bacilli; Caryophanales; Bacillaceae. The record is from RNAcentral.
GACGAACGCUGGCGGCGUGCCUAAUACAUGCAAGUCGAGCGCAGGAAACCAGAUGACCCCUUCGGGGUGAUUCUGGNGGAAUGAGCGGCGGACGGGUGAGUAACACGUGGGCAACCUGCCUGUAAGACUGGGAUAACUUCGGGAAACCGGAGCUAAUACCGGAUAGUAUUUCCUUUCUCCUGAUUGGAAAUGGAAAGACGGUUUCGGCUGUCACUUACAGAUGGGCCCGCGGUGCAUUAGCUAGUUGGUGGGGUAAUGGCCCACCAAGGCGACGAUGCAUAGCCGACCUGAGAGGGUGAUCGGCCACACUGGGACUGAGACACGGCCCAGACUCCUACGGGAGGCAGCAGUAGGGAAUCUUCCGCCAAUGGACGAAAGUCUGACGGAGCAACGCCGCGUGAGCGAUGAAGGCCUUCGGGUCGUAAAGCUCUGUUGUUAGGGAAGAACAAGUACGAGAGUAACUGCUCGUACCUUGACGGUACCUAACCAGAAAGCCCCGGCUAACUACGUGCCAGCAGCCGCGGUAAUACGUAGGGGGCAAGCGUUGUCCGGAAUUAUUGGGCGUAAAGGGCUCGUAGGCGGUUUCUUAAGUCUGAUGUGAAAGCCCACAGCUCAACUGUGGAGGGUCAUUGGAAACUGGGGAACUUGAGUGCAGAAGAGGAGAGUGGAAUUCCACGUGUAGCGGUGAAAUGCGUAGAUAUGUGGAGGAACACCAGUGGCGAAGGCGACUCUCUGGUCUGUAACUGACGCUGAGGAGCGAAAGCGUGGGGAGCAAACAGGAUUAGAUACCCUGGUAGUCCACGCCGUAAACGAUGAGUGCUAGGUGUUAGGGGGUUUCCGCCCCUUA